CCAGGUAUUCUGGUAACUAAGCAUUUCGGUGAUGUAGGAUGGCAGGCUAGAUACUUCGUGUAAGAAAAAGGCCUAUGUAAGGCCGGAAUGAGUGCACUAAAGAAAGAGACACACAAUGGCAUAUGGGCUUCCUGGUUAUUGCGCAAUAAUGCCCGUUGUUUGCCAGUUGCAUUUGAUAACUGGGCUUCCACAGUGUAGCAAGACACUAGAAGAGCACAGAAACUUCUGAAGGCUUUUACCGACACAAAGUCUAAAUCUCUGACGAAGUUAUCGCCGAUCAAUAUGAAGACGCAUCCCCUAUCACAUCUCGUUGUGCUGUGGUGCGUUACCCUCUGUGCUCUGGCAUCAGGAAAGGAAAUUCAAGACCAGGAACUAGGAACCAAGGACGAGCGGGACUAUCAGUUGGAAAAGCGUGCAAGCGAUGAUCUCGAAAAACGUGUAAAAAAACUGGAGGAAAA
Long non-coding RNA from Nematostella vectensis (starlet sea anemone), 458 nucleotides. RefSeq lists it as uncharacterized. The transcript is spliced from 2 exons. Lineage: Eukaryota; Metazoa; Cnidaria; Anthozoa; Actiniaria; Edwardsiidae. The record is from RefSeq and is a predicted model, not a curated record.